RNAcentral lists this transfer RNA (87 nucleotides) under Caldovatus sediminis. Its description in RNAcentral is "tRNA-Leu". Lineage: Bacteria; Pseudomonadati; Pseudomonadota; Alphaproteobacteria; Acetobacterales; Roseomonadaceae. The record is from RNAcentral.
CGGCCGUCUCGGCCGGAUGCCGUCCGCCGCCCUGAGGCGGCGGCGCGGGGCCUCAGGCCGCCGCGGUCCGGGCCGGUGAACGGCCGU